Molecule: ribosomal RNA, 581 nt
Filed under: aff. Aureobasidium sp.
Lineage: Eukaryota; Fungi; Ascomycota; Dothideomycetes; Dothideales; Saccotheciaceae
Description: eukaryotic LSU rRNA
Rfam family: 5.8S ribosomal RNA (bases 230-383)
Source: RNAcentral
GUAAAAGUCGUAACAAGGUUUCCGUAGGUGAACCUGCGGAGGAUCAUUAAAGAGUAAGGGUGCUCAGCGCCCGACCUCCAACCCUUUGUUGUUAAAACUACCUUGUUGCUUUGGCGGGACCGCUCGGUCUCGAGCCGCUGGGGAUUCGUCCCAGGCGAGCGCCCGCCAGAGUUAAACCAAACUCUUGUUAUUAAACCGGUCGUCUGAGUUAAAAUUUUGAAUAAAUCAAAACUUUCAACAACGGAUCUCUUGGUUCUCGCAUCGAUGAAGAACGCAGCGAAAUGCGAUAAGUAAUGUGAAUUGCAGAAUUCAGUGAAUCAUCGAAUCUUUGAACGCACAUUGCGCCCCUUGGUAUUCCGAGGGGCAUGCCUGUUCGAGCGUCAUUACACCACUCAAGCUAUGCUUGGUAUUGGGUGCCGUCCUUAGUUGGGCGCGCCUUAAAGACCUCGGCGAGGCCUCACCGGCUUUAGGCGUAGUAGAAUUUAUUCGAACGUCUGUCAAAGGAGAGGACUUCUGCCGACUGAAACCUUUAUUUUUCUAGGUUGACCUCGGAUCAGGUAGGGAUACCCGCUGAACUUAAG